CGGCGAGCGGCGGACGGGUGAGUAACGCGUAGGAAUCUGCCCGGUAGCGGGGGAUAGCCCAGAGAAAUUUGGAUUAAUACCGCAUACGCCCUACGGGGGAAAGGAGGGGACUCUUCGGAGCCUUCCACUAUCGGAUGAGCCUGCGUGAGAUUAGCUAGUUGGUGGGGUAAAGGCCUACCAAGGCGACGAUCUCUAGCUGGUCUGAGAGGAUGAUCAGCCACACCGGAACUGAGACACGGUCCGGACUCCUACGGGAGGCAGCAGUGGGGAAUAUUGCACAAUGGGCGAAAGCCUGAUGCAGCCAUGCCGCGUGUGUGAAGAAGGCCUUAGGGUUGUAAAGCACUUUCAGCGAGGAGGAAAGGUUGUCAGUUAAUACCUGGCAGCUGUGACGUUACUCGCAGAAGAAGCACCGGCUAACUCC
RNAcentral lists this ribosomal RNA (421 nucleotides) under Oceanospirillum linum. RNAcentral's name for it is "bacterial SSU rRNA". It matches the Rfam family "Bacterial small subunit ribosomal RNA", at positions 89 to 504 of the family's 1533-position model. The record is from RNAcentral. Lineage: Bacteria; Pseudomonadati; Pseudomonadota; Gammaproteobacteria; Oceanospirillales; Oceanospirillaceae.